Molecule: RNA transcript, 1587 nt
Organism: Salvia splendens (bonfire salvia)
Lineage: Eukaryota; Viridiplantae; Streptophyta; Magnoliopsida; Lamiales; Lamiaceae
Gene name: CRIB domain-containing protein RIC10
Exons: 6
Source: RefSeq, a predicted model, not a curated record
AACACUCAAAGUCCUCGUAAGUCUCUGCUUGUUUCAAACCCUCCUCUCCUCCGCCGCUCGCCGUCGCAAUGGCGAUCUCGCCGACCACAUUCGCCGUCGCAGCUCUCCUCUUCAUCAGCCACCUAUCCCUUCUCACAACCCCCGCCAUAUCCCUCUCCUCUGAAUCCCUCCUUACCGAGCUCUCCGACCUCCAAUCGCAGUCCCCCACCGGCGUCAUCCGCCUCUCCGACUCCCUCCUCCGCCGCAUCGUCUCCCUGCCCACCCCACGCCCCUUCCACUCCCUAAUCUUCUUCGACGCGCACCAGUUCCACUCUAAACCUGAGCUUUCGCUCCCAACACUCAAAUCCGAAUUCGGCCUCGUUUCCGCCUCUUUCCAAUCGAAUAACCCUAAUUCCAAAUCGAAACUCUUCUUCUUCGAAAUCGAAUUCCAGGAAUCUCAAUCAUCCUUCGCCCUUUUCGACGUCAACUCCCUCCCUCACAUCCGCCUCAUCCCGCCCACCGCCUCCGAUGUAAAGACGGAAUCUAUUCAAAUGGACGCCGCCGAUUACUCGAGAUUGGGCGAUUCGAUGGCCGAAUUCAUCGAAUCAAGAGCUAAAUUCACCGUUGGGCCGCUCAAUCGCCCUCCAGUUGUUUCGAAGAAACAGAUCGCAUUCAUAAUCGCUGUAAUCCUGAUCUGGACUCCGUUCUUCCUGAAGAAAUUGAUCGCCGGAAACACAAUUUUCCACGAUAAGAACAUAUGGAUGGCGGGGGCGGUUUUCGUCUACUUCUUCAGCGUUUCGGGGGCGAUGUUUAAUAUAAUUAGGAAAAUGCCGAUGUUUAUUGCGGAUAGGCAGGAUCCAUUGAAGCUGGUGUUCUUCUACCAGGGGUCAGGGAUGCAGCUGGGGGCUGAGGGAUUCUCGAUUGGCUUCCUGUACACGAUCGUGGGGCUGCUGCUGGCUUUUGUGACUCAUGUAUUGGUGAGGGUGAAGAACAAGACUGUGCAGAGAGUUGUGAUGCUUUUCGUGCUGUUUGUAUCGUUCUGGGCCGUGAAGAAGGUGAUUUUCUUGGAUAAUUGGAAGACCGGGUAUGGCAUUCACGGCUACAUGCCUACGAGCUGGCAGUGAUCUUCUCUGGCUUUUGAUAUGCGACCUGCAGAAUGAUAGGAGAAGUUGCCUCUCUCCUAAUUCUCCUUCCCCCCAGUCUCAUUUAAGGCAAAGGAGGAACCAACCCCUUUUGACAAAUUGGUGGUUCUUCAUUAUCUUAUAGUGCACGCCAAUUUCUUUCUAAUCCGCACGGCUUCCCAAAUGGGAACCAAAAUGAAGGGGAUAUAUAAAGGAGUCAAAUACAGCAUCACUCAAAUGUUUGGAGCCAGAACUGGAAAUUGGGGACCCCACUGAUGUGAAGCAUGUAGCACAUAUUGGGAUGGAUGGUUCCUCCGGAAAUGCACCCUCUUGGAUGAAUGAGUACAAGACGGAGAGUGAUUUCGCAGCAACAUCCCUUGAACUUGGUGAAUCCCAAUCGGGUGAAACCUCAAUGGAGGUUGCUGGCGUGAAGAAGAAGAAGAAGAAGGAGAGGAGGAGGAAACCGAGAUCAAGUAACUCUUCUCAA